AUUGAACGCUGGCGGCAUGCCUUACACAUGCAAGUCGAACGGUAACGGGCCUUCGGGUGCCGACGAGUGGCGAACGGGUGAGUAAUGCAUCGGAACGUACCUUUCAGUGGGGGAUAACGUAGCGAAAGUUACGCUAAUACCGCAUAUUCUGUGAGCAGGAAAGCAGGGGAUCGCAAGACCUUGCGCUGAUUGAGCGGCCGAUGUCAGAUUAGCUAGUUGGUGAGGUAAUGGCUCACCAAGGCGACGAUCAGUAGCUGGUCUGAGAGGAUGAUCAGCCACAUUGGGACUGAGACACGGCCCAAACUCCUACGGGAGGCAGCAGUGGGGAAUAUUGGACAAUGGGCGCAAGCCUGAUCCAGCCAUGCCGCGUGAGUGAUGAAGGCCUUAGGGUUGUAAAGCUCUUUUACCCGGGAAGAUAAUGACUGUACCGGGAGAAUAAGCCCCGGCUAACUUCGUGCCAGCAGCCGCGGUAAAAUC
Molecule: ribosomal RNA, 477 nt
Filed under: uncultured bacterium
Lineage: Bacteria
Description: bacterial SSU rRNA
Rfam family: Bacterial small subunit ribosomal RNA
Source: RNAcentral